This is a non-coding RNA of Pelobates cultripes (western spadefoot toad), 222 nucleotides long. The record is from the annotation of a GenBank genome assembly. NCBI's taxonomy places the organism in Eukaryota, Metazoa, Chordata, Amphibia, Anura, Pelobatidae.
GGCAGGGGCGGAGCUAAAAGUGGCAGAUAACUGCUGCAGGAAAGAGUCCCUGCUUCCCCAACAAACAAACAGUCUCCAGGAGCUGCACUGCAAUGAACAAUGAACAGAGGUAACUAUAUGUAAUUGUCAGUAUGAGUGUGACUGUCUGCGUGUCUAUGACUGUCUGCCUGUGUGUGUGUGUAUGACUGUCUGCCUGUGCGUGUCUGUGUGUGUGUGUGUGUG